RNAcentral lists this ribosomal RNA (250 nucleotides) under uncultured bacterium. Its description in RNAcentral is "partial 16S ribosomal RNA". It matches the Rfam family "Bacterial small subunit ribosomal RNA", at positions 524 to 776 of the family's 1533-position model. The record is from RNAcentral.
UACGAAGGGGGCUAGCGUUGCUCGGAAUUACUGGGCGUAAAGCGCACGUAGGCGGCUUUCUAAGUCGGGGUGAAAUCCUGGAGCUCAACUCCAGAACUGCCUUCGAUACUGGAAAGCUCGAGUCCGGGAGAGGUGAGUGGAACUGCGAGUGUAGAGGUGAAAUUCGUAGAUAUUGGGAAGAACACCGGUGGCGAAGGCGGCGACCUGGUCCAUUACUGACGCUGAGGCGCGACAGCGUGGGAGCAACAGG